GAGGAAGGUGGGGAUGACGUCAAGUCCUCAUGGCCUUUAUGUCCAGGGCUACACACGUGCUACAAUGGCGCGUACAGAGGGAAGCCAAGCCGCGAGGUGGAGUAGACCCCAGAAAGCGCGUCGUAGUUCGGAUUGCAGUCUGCAACUCGACUGCAUGAAGUCGGAAUCGCUAGUAAUCGCGGAUCAGCAUGCCGCGGUGAAUACGUUCCCGGGCCUUGUACACACCGCCCGUCACACCAUAGGAGUGGAUUGUACCAGAAGCAGCUAGCCUAACCUUCGGGAGGGCGGUUACCACGGUAUGGUUCAUGACUGGGGUGAAGUCG
This 323-nucleotide ribosomal RNA is filed under the name uncultured bacterium. RNAcentral describes it as "bacterial SSU rRNA". It matches the Rfam family "Bacterial small subunit ribosomal RNA", at positions 1166 to 1488 of the family's 1533-position model. The record is from RNAcentral.